Cheilinus undulatus (humphead wrasse) is the source of this 1144-nucleotide long non-coding RNA. RefSeq lists it as uncharacterized. The transcript has 6 exons. The record is from RefSeq and is a predicted model, not a curated record. Lineage: Eukaryota; Metazoa; Chordata; Actinopteri; Labriformes; Labridae.
CACACGACCACAGGAGACCAGCAUGGAUGGAAGGAAUGUCUACUCAAAAACGGCAGGGAAAGGAUUUCUCUCAACGGUCAAGUUAGUAUUGGCCAGAAUAAUGUCUGGCAGGGCCCGCUUCAUGACCUUGGGUUUGACUUUCAGAUUUCUUUCAAGGGGGUGAUUGAUAAUGGUCAGAACAACAUUGGCCUUCCAAUCAACCCUCAGGAUGGGAUGGCUUCUGCUAAAGGACAUAACAGUCCUGGGACAUCCCAACCUCCAACUAACCCACUGGAUGAGGACACCACUAUGGAGUGGACCAACGAGGCAGGAGAGAUUGGACCAUAAGCUAAGGCAGCAAUGAUCUGUGCCAAUGAUGAUCUUCUCUGAGCCCAAGCAAGAAGAAGGGAGAGAGUGCUGUUGCUGACGGCCUUAACUAAAGAUGGGAAAAUUUGCAUUCACUGUUUUCAUUUUGUUCUUCUUGACACUGUGAUAACCAUAAAUGAUCAGAUGAUUCUGAAGAAAGAAAUGACUAUUACCUCUCCCUUUAUUAUUUUUAUUACUAUGUUUUCUCCUACAUAUCUUUCUCCCUCCCCAUAAACUAUGGAAGAGCAACACUGUGAAAAUCAGCGCACAUAUGUAUCAGGGAGCAUCCUCUAAAAUGUACAGAAAGUGUACUCUAAACAGCUAGAGGUCAAAUAUUCACAUUUUUACUGAUGAUCAGGUUUCAAAAAUGUUUAAACUUGUCUGAGGGAUUUUAUCUGAAUGACUCCAGAAUUCUUUUUUCAUUAUAGACAAGAUGGAGAUGAACAUUUAUCAAAAAUAAUACGUUUUCACCAUCAGGCAGGGUCAUGACUGGGCCAAAAGUUGGGCUAUUUUGUUUUCAGCUCAAUAAUUCCAAACAUGCAGCUCUACAGCGCUUAUGUCAGUCAUAACCUCGCACCUCAGGGAUGAUUGUCAAGCUUAAAUUUAUCCAUUCAUCAUCAUCAUCAUCAUCAUCCCUUUGUCACAGUGCCCAUUUGUGGUAAUUGAACAAAAAAACUCUUUGGCCCAUACCCCAAUCCCAACAAAAUGUCCACCAGCUUCAUCUCAGUUUCCAAAUAAGACUUUUAGAUGAUAAGAAAUGAUUUUAAGCUGUUGUAACUUCUGUGUGUAUAUUCUGCUU